This 561-nucleotide ribosomal RNA is filed under the name uncultured bacterium. RNAcentral's name for it is "partial 16S ribosomal RNA". It matches the Rfam family "Bacterial small subunit ribosomal RNA", at positions 355 to 1375 of the family's 1533-position model. The record is from RNAcentral.
UGGGGAAUAUUGGACAAUGGGGGCAACCCUGAUCCAGCCAUGCCGCGUGAGUGAUGAAGGCCCUAGGGUUGUAAAGCUCUUUUGUGCGGGAAGAUAAUGACGGUACCGCAAGAAUAAGCCCCGGCUAACUUCGUGCCAGCAGCCGCGGUAAUACGAAGGGGGCUAGCGUUGCUCGGAAUCACUGGGCGUAAAGGGUGCGUAGGCGGGUUUCUAAGUCAGAGGUGAAAGCCUGGAGCUCAACUCCAGAACUGCCUUUGAUACUGGAAGUCUUGAGUAUGGCAGAGGUGAGUGGAACUGCGAGUGUAGAGGUGAAAUUCGUAGAUAUUCGCAAGAACACCAGUGGCGAAGGCGGCUCACUGGGCCAUUACUGACGCUGAGGCACGAAAGCGUGGGGAGCAAACAGGAUUAGAUACCCUGGUAGUCCAUGCCGUAAACGAUGAAUGCCAGCCGUUAGUGGGUUUUACUCACUAGUGGCGCAGCUAACGCUUUAAGCAUUCCGCCUGGGGAGUACGGUCGCAAGAUUAAAACUCAAAUGAAUUGACGGGGUCAUAGCUGUUUCCU